Schistocerca serialis cubense is the source of this 105-nucleotide small nuclear RNA. NCBI's taxonomy places the organism in Eukaryota, Metazoa, Arthropoda, Insecta, Orthoptera, Acrididae. The record is from RefSeq and is a predicted model, not a curated record.
ACACGCUUCGGCGAUGCAAAUACUAAAAUUGGAACGAUACAGAGAAGAUUAACAUGGUCCCUGGGCAAGGAUGACACGCUAAAUCAUGAAGCGUUCCAGAUGGCA